GCGUAGGCCUGUGACUUUUGCAAUGGCUAACCCCCUUACCCUUAAGGCAAUGAAAAAUAUUUUGCAUGACAGCGACCACAAAGCUUCACCUUCACUCAGAGAAAGCAUAGUUAAAACUGUGCUCAUUCUGACUUUCUUAUGCCCAUAAAUUUAUCUUACGCGACAGUUAGACAGCGAUAGCACUUAGCGUUCAUUUCACGCAGUUGUCGUGUUCUGUAUCAAACCUAUCAUCAUAAUUACUCGUCACGAAAAGCCAGGAAAAAAGAAAGCUUAAUUUCUUUCCGUCAAUGAUUCUAGUUUACCAUUUGAGGAUGAAGGUGUUAGUGGUUUGGAACGAUCAAAGGAGAUCUUAUGCUACAGUAAGGGUGUUAAAAUGUUAGUGUUUACUAGAAAACUAGACCGGCCAUACCACACCGCGUCGAAUGCUUGGCAACAAGGAAAAACUAAUUUUCAUAUCAAUAAUUUUGAAGGUGAGUGGCUGAGGACAUAUGACACAGGUAUGUGAUGAAAAAUAAAAAUUGAGUAAUUAUCAGACAUAAAAUUAUUAUUUGCAGCUUUACUUGUACUUGACGGGAAGCUUAGCCUAACACUAAGUAUGGCCACAGCAAAGAGCACAAGGCCAUACGACGUUUACGUGGCGUUAUAGGAAACGUGCCAAACAAAUCGGCGCUCGCAUCUCAAAGAUUUGGCUCAAAGCCUUUCAGCAUUUAUUACUUUCCCACUCUCCGGGAAGCGAGCCUCGGAGAACAGCCGGAUAAGGAGAGCUACGUGCUCAGUUUACCUAGCUUUCGUAAACAAUGUUGAGGAAAAAAAUCACAUAAAAAUGGUACUUAUAUAUUCUGGAAGUAAGCUGGAGCGAUGCAAGAAUGUUUUCCCUCUCUAACAGCGUACCUAUAUAAGCAGCAGCGGACUUAACUCAAACAAUUUUUCCUCGAGUAUAGACCCCGACACUUGUGCCAAUUACUCUUGUAUCGCCACUUGCCUGCAAGCACCGAGAACGCCAAGAUGAAGACAACGGUGCUCGUACUAGCUAUCCUUCUUGUCUCAGCAGUGAUGCUGACGGAGGGGGCACCCGCUGGGAAACCUCCAGGCAGAGGAGGGGGCUCACGGGGGCGUCAGCAAGGCGUCAAAUGUGGGAGCAACAUCUGCAAACCAGGCGAGACCUGCGAGCCAUCUUUUGUGGGGCGUGCAUGUACAAAACACGGUGUUUACAAUUAACAGGCCAUUGGAUCGGCACCAACGAGAUCAACCUGCAUUCGCUGCUCAAUAAAGUUACUUGCACUCACCAAGUACUGGA
Dermacentor silvarum is the source of this 1297-nucleotide long non-coding RNA. RefSeq lists it as uncharacterized. NCBI's taxonomy places the organism in Eukaryota, Metazoa, Arthropoda, Arachnida, Ixodida, Ixodidae. The transcript has 4 exons. The record is from RefSeq and is a predicted model, not a curated record.